UCCUCCGUGGCGCAAUUGGCUAGCGCGUUCGACUGUUAAUCGAGAGGUUGACAGUUCAAGCCUGUCCGGGGGAG
Non-coding RNA from Xylaria sp. CBS 124048, 74 nucleotides. Lineage: Eukaryota; Fungi; Ascomycota; Sordariomycetes; Xylariales; Xylariaceae. The record is from the annotation of a GenBank genome assembly.